GCGGCCGUAGUCUAGCCUGGUCUAGGAUGGCGGCCUUCCGAUCCAGGCGGAGCAGAAAGCCGCAGAACCCGGGUUCGAAUCCCGGCGGCCGCA
This 93-nucleotide transfer RNA is filed under the name Vulcanisaeta sp. SCGC AB-777_J10. It matches the Rfam family "tRNA". From Rfam's summary of the family: Transfer RNA (tRNA) molecules are approximately 80 nucleotides in length. Lineage: Archaea; Thermoproteati; Thermoproteota; Thermoprotei; Thermoproteales; Thermoproteaceae. The record is from Rfam by way of RNAcentral.